CCACACCAUGGUUGUUACCAAAAAGAAACCCAUGAAGAAUACCAACAGUAAUUUGAAAGAUCAAGAUCCGAAGCAAGGUACCACCGCCAUUGAUAACCAUCUCACAACACUUGAUUCAAGAUUUAAUCAAACUCUCCUCAAUGUACAAGGGAUGUUAAAGGGUCGCAGCUUCCCUGGUAAAGUGCUGAUAACAAGAUCAGAUCCAAUGGAUGCUACAAUUUUACACUCUCCUGGUAUUGAUCGUAGUCCCUCUACUGGCUCAAAUAAAUACGAGGAUGGUACAAAUGAGGAUCAAGUUCACAGAAGUAAACCAGAUGCUAGUACCACUGCAAAUCAGUUAAAUUCUUCAAUGAUAAAUCCUGUGAAUACAUCUUUGGAGGCUCCGAGGUUUGUGAUGAGCACCAGAGCUACGGACACUGCUAAGCUGAUGAAGUUCACGAAAGUGUUGGGGGGAGUAACUGUCAUUUUAGACAAGUUGCGUGAGUUAGCUUGGAGUGGUGUGCCACCUUAUCUGCGCCCUAAUGUUUGGAGGCUUCUUUUGGGAUAUGCACCCCCUAAUUCAGAUCGAAGGGAGGGAGGCCUAAGAAGAAAGCGCAUAGAGUAUUUUGAUUGUGUUGCUCAGUAUUACGACAUUUCAGAUAAUGAACGUACUGAUGAGGAGAUUAAUAUGCUUAGACAGAUUGCUGUUGAUUGUCCUAGAACCGUGCCUGAUGUUAAUUUUUUCCAACAAGUCCAAGUCCAGAAAUCCUUGGAGCGAAUACUAUAUACAUGGGCAAUCCGGCAUCCGGCAAGUGGAUACGUCCAGGGAAUAAAUGAUCUUGCUACACCCUUUUUAGUAGUUUUCUUGUCAGAACAUUUAGAAGGGAACGUUGAUAGUUGGUCAAUUGCUGAUUUAGAUCCUGAUAAGAUCUCCAAUGUUGAAGCUGAUUGUUAUUGGUGUCUAUCCAAGUUACUUGAUGGUAUGCAAGACCAUUAUACGUUUGCUCAACCCGGGAUCCAACGGCUAGUAUUUAAACUCAAGGAAUUGGUGAGACGAAUUGAUGAACCUAUUUCUAGGCAUAUGGAAGAGCAAGGGCUUGAUUUUCUUCAAUUUUCUUUUCGAUGGUUCAAUUGUCUUCUUAUACGAGAGGUAUGUUGCUGCUUGUUCCAUUUUCUUCUUCAUGAUUUGUAAUGGCCGUUUGCUAAAUGCUUACCGGGUGUUAUUUACCUUACCGGGUGAGCAUGACAAGGACCGAGAAUCUUACCCAGUAAGCACUAACUGGGUAAGAGACACUUCAAUAAUCCAUUUUGAUGGCCGAUAAUGUCAACUGAUAAGAUUCCUUUCCAUCUGGUCACCCGUUUAUGGGACACAUAUCUUGCUGAAGGUGAUGCAUUGCCAGAUUUCCUUGUGUAUAUAUUUGCCAGUUUUCUUUUAACGUGGUCGGAAAAGCUCCAAAAGUUGGAUUUCCAGGAGAUGGUGAUGUUCCUUCAACACCUCCCGACACAGAACUGGGGUGACCAAGAGCUGGAAAUGGUCCUUUCGAGGGCGUUUAUGUGGCACACCAUGUUCGACAGUUGUCCCAAUCACUUGGUAUAAUUGUUAUUUUCGUUUUUGCGGAAAAUUCUUAUGUAUAAUCCGAUGUAUUAUUUGUAGUUGUCAUUCUUGAACAUGCUUUGAGUAUAGUUGUAUGGUAGAAGUUGUGAUUGUUUUCUCAUUCAAAAUCUAAAUUGUUGAUACAUUUGAAUGCUUGGAUGUGUUGGAACCUUUUUUUAAUCUAGUUAUCUAUUUACA
Cynara cardunculus var. scolymus (artichoke) is the source of this 1771-nucleotide RNA transcript. It is a transcript of the gene named TBC1 domain family member 22B-like, with no coding region annotated. The transcript has 10 exons. Lineage: Eukaryota; Viridiplantae; Streptophyta; Magnoliopsida; Asterales; Asteraceae. The record is from RefSeq and is a predicted model, not a curated record.